UGCUUUGCCUGCAAAAAGGUCGCUGAUUCAGUCCCUGGCGUUUCUAAGUAGGACUGGGAAAGACUGAAACCCUGGAGUACUGCUGCCAGUCAGGGUAGACAAUAUUGAGCCAGAUAGACCAAUGGCCUGACUCAAUAUAUGACAACUUUCCUGUGAGAUGCAGGCCGAGGGUUCUUUAAUCCUCUUCCUCAAGCAAUGUGGAUAGAAAGGAUGCCUUGAGUCGAGGAGGUCUUUCUUUAUAUACCCCAGCUGCUCCCUAUCAUUUUCCGGUUUCUUGGAGCGUGCAUAGGUGUUUAAGGGGGGGUGCUCUGCGAAGCCUUGUCUUGCUGUUCACACUGCAGGCGUUAAAGAGCCCUUUGCCGUUGCCUCAGGAGGGAAAAGUGGCUGAGGUAAAGAGACAGGUAUCAAUUCACCUCUUCUGUCUCUGAAAAUACCAAAGAAGCCAUUGGACAAUGAAAGGCCAAGCCAGCAGGAAAAACCAGGUGCGAGGAGACAGCUGUGCUGGCCAACCUGGCAGUUCCUGCGGAACAAGAGAAGAUGGUGAGGAUAAAAACCUGGACUGGACUACAGAAAAAGCACUGGAGAUGGAAUGGCACCCUCUGCUGGUUCUCAAGCACUUCCACACUAAGGAGAUUUGGUUUCUCUAAGUGACUUAUAUUAUUCCAAUUUACUAUUUAGAUAAGAAUGCAAGUUUGAAUUGAUUAAUAAGUGGAAUAAAUCAACUGAAGCUUUA
This is a long non-coding RNA of Rhineura floridana, 733 nucleotides long. RefSeq lists it as uncharacterized. NCBI's taxonomy places the organism in Eukaryota, Metazoa, Chordata, Lepidosauria, Squamata, Rhineuridae. The record is from RefSeq and is a predicted model, not a curated record. The transcript has 2 exons.